Molecule: ribosomal RNA, 253 nt
Filed under: uncultured bacterium
Lineage: Bacteria
Description: partial 16S ribosomal RNA
Rfam family: Bacterial small subunit ribosomal RNA
Source: RNAcentral
UACGUAGGUGGCGAGCGUUGUCCGGAUUUACUGGGCGUAAAGGGAGCGUAGGCGGAUUUUUAAGUGGGAUGUGAAAUACUCGGGCUCAACUUGAGUGCUGCAUUUCAAACUGGAAGUCUAGAGUGCAGGAGAGGAGAAUGGAAUUCCUAGUGUAGCGGUGAAAUGCAUAGAGAUUAGGAAGAACACCAGUGGCGAAGGCGAUUCUCUGGACUGUAACUGACGCUGAGGCUCGAAAGCGUGGGGAGCAAACAGG